UUCGCGGCCUGACCAUUAAAAAAAAAACUUUUUAAUUUUUUUCUGCCGCCAUUUUGAACUGUCAUUAUUCAGUUGUCAUCCCGCGAAAUUUCAAUUGUAAGACAUUGUAAAAAUAAAUUAUACGUCUGAUUUAAAAAUAAGAGUCAACAGAUUUUUCAUAAUGGACAAUUUGGAGCAACGUGCUGUAAUUAAAUAUCUUCAUAAAAAAGGAUUGACUCCAAAACAAAUUUUUGAAGAUAUGCAGUGUACAUUGGGGCAAUCCUGUCCAUCAUAUACGACAGUAAAAAAGUGGGCAGCUGAAUUCAAGCGGGGACGAGUCAAUAUCGCAGAUGACCCUCGCCCCGGGAGACCAACCACUGCGACCAAUCCACAUAAUGUGGCAAUUAUAUGCGAGAUGAUAAUGCAAGACCGACGAUUAAAAGUAAGGGAAAUAGCUGACAUCGUAGGCAUCUCCUAUGAAAGAACCCAAAACAUUAUAGUCAACGAAUUAGGUUUUUCAAAGGUGUCGGCGAGAUGGGUUCCGAAGCUCCUUUCAGUGGAACAAAAAAUCACUCGGAGUAAUAAUGGUUGACUAUCUCCAGAAAGGUACCACUAUAAACUCUGACUACUAUUGCGACCUUUUACGCCGAUUACGAGAAGAUCUGAAAGUAAAAAGACCUGGAUUGUUGACAAAAAAAGUUCUCUUUCACCAGGACAAUGCACGUGUGCACACGUCAAUAAAAUCGAUAGCAGAAAUUCACAACUGUGGGUUUGAAUUAUUGCCCCACCCGCCCUAUUCGCCUGAUUUGGCACCAUCGGACUUCCAUCUAUUUCCAAAUUUAAAAAAACACAUGGGCGGUAAGAAAUUUUUUACCAACGACGAGGUCCAAGCAGAAGUGGACACCUAUUAUGAAGGCCUGGAGGAAAGUUUCUUCAAAAGUGGUAUAAUGGCUUUGGAAUUCAGAUGGAACAAGUGCAAAGAGCUCGACGGGGACUACGUAGAGAAAUAAAAAUA
Long non-coding RNA from Cydia fagiglandana, 994 nucleotides. RefSeq lists it as uncharacterized. NCBI's taxonomy places the organism in Eukaryota, Metazoa, Arthropoda, Insecta, Lepidoptera, Tortricidae. The record is from RefSeq and is a predicted model, not a curated record. The transcript is spliced from 2 exons.